GACGAACGCUGGCGGCGUGCCUAAUACAUGCAAGUCGAACGCUGAAGGAGGAGCUUGCUCUUCUGGAUGAGUUGCGAACGGGUGAGUAACGCGUAGGUAACCUGCCUGGUAGCGGGGGAUAACUAUUGGAAACGAUAGCUAAUACCGCAUAACAGUAGAUGUUGCAUGACAUUUACUUAAAAGGUGCAAUUGCAUCACUACCAGAUGGACCUGCGUUGUAUUAGCUAGUUGGUGGGGUAACGGCUCACCAAGGCGACGAUACAUAGCCGACCUGAGAGGGUGAUCGGCCACACUGGGACUGAGACACGGCCCAGACUCCUACGGGAGGCAGCAGUAGGGAAUCUUCGGCAAUGGACGGAAGUCUGACCGAGCAACGCCGCGUGAGUGAAGAAGGUUUUCGGAUCGUAAAGCUCGGUUGUAAGAGAAGAACGAGUGUGAGAGUGGAAAGUUCACACUGUGACGGUAUCUUACCAGAAAGGGACGGCUAACUACGUG
RNAcentral lists this ribosomal RNA (495 nucleotides) under uncultured bacterium. RNAcentral describes it as "partial 16S ribosomal RNA". It matches the Rfam family "Bacterial small subunit ribosomal RNA", at positions 28 to 507 of the family's 1533-position model. The record is from RNAcentral.